This 340-nucleotide ribosomal RNA is filed under the name Barytelphusa cunicularis. RNAcentral's name for it is "partial 12S ribosomal RNA". Lineage: Eukaryota; Metazoa; Arthropoda; Malacostraca; Decapoda; Gecarcinucidae. The record is from RNAcentral.
AUUUACUUAAAAUUUAAAGAAUUUGGCGGUAGUUUAGUCUUGUUAGAGGAACCUGUUUUAAUUGAUCGAUAAACCACGUAGGAUCUUGCUUAUUUUGACUUUAGUGGCUUGUAUACCAUCAUUAUCAGAUAAUUUUUAAUAUAAAGAUGAUAAUUAUUGAAAUAAAUUAUAUUAGGUAAAUUAGAUCAAGGUGCAGCUUAUAAAUAAGUUAAAAUGGGUUACAAUAAAAUUUAUUUAUUACAGAAUAAUUUUUUAAAGUAGGGUUAAGAAGGAGGAUUUAAUUGUAAUAUAAAUUUAAUAAGUUUAUAUGAUAAGAGCUCUAAAUUAUGUACACAUCGCC